RNAcentral lists this ribosomal RNA (773 nucleotides) under Escherichia coli. RNAcentral describes it as "partial 23S ribosomal RNA". It matches the Rfam family "Bacterial large subunit ribosomal RNA", at positions 1 to 817 of the family's 2925-position model. The record is from RNAcentral. Lineage: Bacteria; Pseudomonadati; Pseudomonadota; Gammaproteobacteria; Enterobacterales; Enterobacteriaceae.
GUUAAGCGACUAAGCGUACACGGUGGAUGCCCUGGCAGUCAGAGGCGAUGAAGGACGUGCUAAUCUGCGAUAAGCGUCGGUAAGGUGAUAUGAACCGUUAUAACCGGCGAUUUCCGAAUGGGGAAACCCAGUGUGAUUCGUCACACUAUCAUUAACUGAAUCCAUAGGUUAAUGAGGCGAACCGGGGGAACUGAAACAUCUAAGUACCCCGAGGAAAAGAAAUCAACCGAGAUUCCCCCAGUAGCGGCGAGCGAACGGGGAGCAGCCCAGAGCCUGAAUCAGUGUGUGUGUUAGUGGAAGCGUCUGGAAAGGCGCGCGAUACAGGGUGACAGCCCCGUACACAAAAAUGCACAUGCUGUGAGCUCGAUGAGUAGGGCGGGACACGUGGUAUCCUGUCUGAAUAUGGGGGGACCAUCCUCCAAGGCUAAAUACUCCUGACUGACCGAUAGUGAACCAGUACCGUGAGGGAAAGGCGAAAAGAACCCCGGCGAGGGGAGUGAAAAAGAACCUGAAACCGUGUACGUACAAGCAGUGGGAGCACGCUUAGGCGUGUGACUGCGUACCUUUUGUAUAAUGGGUCAGCGACUUAUAUUCUGUAGCAAGGUUAACCGAAUAGGGGAGCCGAAGGGAAACCGAGUCUUAACUGGGCGUUAAGUUGCAGGGUAUAGACCCGAAACCCGGUGAUCUAGCCAUGGGCAGGUUGAAGGUUGGGUAACACUAACUGGAGGACCGAACCGACUAAUGUUGAAAAAUUAGCGGAUGACUUGUGGCUG